UCAAAAUGGGGGGCCCGCUUACACAUGCAGUCGAACGAGAAAGUGGAGCAAUCCAUGAGUAAAGUGGCGUACGGGUGAGUAACACGUGGGUAAUCUACCUCUUGGUGGGGAAUAACCCUGGGAAGCCGGGGCUAAUACCGCAUAAGCUCGGAAGAGGAAGCCCGAAAGGGGCCGAGAGAGGAGCCCGCGGCCGAUUAGCUAGUUGGUGAGGUAAGAGCUCACCAAGGCGAUGAUCGGUAGCCGGCCUGAGAGGGCGAUCGGUCACACCGGAACUGAGACACGGUCCGGACUCCUACGGGAGGCAGCAGUGGGGAAUCUUGCGCAAUGGGCGCAAGCCUGAUGCAGCCAUGCCGCGUGUGUGAAGAAGGCCUUCGGGUUGUAAAGCACUUUCAGCGAGGAGGAAGGUGGUGAGCUUAAUACGCUCAUCAAUUGACGUUACUCGCAGAAGAAGCACCGGCUAACUCCGUGCCAGCAGCCGCGGUAAUACGUAGGUGGCAAGCGUUGUCCGGAAUUAUUGGGCGUAAAGCGCGCGCAGGCGGCUUCUUAAGUCUGAUGUGAAAUCUCGCGGCUCAACCGUGAGCGGUCAUUGGAAACUGGGGAGCUUGAGUACAGAAGAGGAGAGCGGAAUUCCACGUGUAGCGGUGAAAUGCGUAGAGAUGUGGAAGAACACCAGUGGCGAAGGCGGCUCUCUGGUCUGUAACUGACGCUGAGGCGCGAAAGCGUGGGUAGCGAACAGGAUUAGAUACCCUGGUAGUCCACGCCGUAAACUAUGAACGCUAGCCGUUGGCAGGCUUGCCUGUCAGUGGCGCGGCUAACGCAUUAAGCGUUCCGCCUGGGGAGUACGGCCGCAAGGUUGAAACUCAAAGGAAUUGACGGGGGCCCGCACAAGCGGUGGAGCAUGUGGUUUAAUUCGACGCAACGCGCAGAACCUUACCAGGGUUUGACAUCCUGUGCUCACCGGAGAAAUCCGGGUUUCCCCGCAAGAGGCGCAGAGACAGGUGCCGCAUGGCUGUCGUCAGCUCGUGUCGUGAGAUGUUGGGUUAAGUCCCGCAACGAGCGCACCCUCGCCUUUAGUGCCAGCAUUCAGUUGGGUCACUCCUAAGGUGACUGCUCGUG
Molecule: ribosomal RNA, 1116 nt
Filed under: uncultured bacterium
Lineage: Bacteria
Description: bacterial SSU rRNA
Rfam family: Bacterial small subunit ribosomal RNA
Source: RNAcentral